This 2265-nucleotide long non-coding RNA is filed under the name Heterocephalus glaber (naked mole-rat). Its description in RNAcentral is "lncRNA (ENSHGLG00000050955.1)". The record is from RNAcentral. Lineage: Eukaryota; Metazoa; Chordata; Mammalia; Rodentia; Bathyergidae.
CCAAGAUCUUGGAACAUCUGGGCUCCCAAGGUCCCUAGAGAGGAAGUGAAAAGGGUGGGGACCCCUUACACAUAUAGGUGCAGCCACACAACCAGGACAUGGGGUGAGAACAAGUCCUAACGAUGAAGGGUGCACAAGAUGACAGGGAACACUAGGGAGGCGGCCCCUGAAUGUGGGCCUCCCGCCUCCACUCCCAAGUUCUAACCCAAUCAAGUGACUAUUAUAAAACUUAGGUAUUUCUAUGUAUUUAUAUAUGUACAUGUCACCUACAAUUUGGAUGGUUUUCAGGGGUCCACUUUUCCUCAAGCCUGUCUGGCUGAUGCUUUUCUGUAGAAGGAAAGGACUUGCCUCUACCAAACAGUGAUGAACACUGUAGGGGGCCAGGGAUGUAGCUCAGUGGCACGGCGCCUGCCUGGCAAGUACAAGGUCCUGAGUCCAAUUCCUGGUGCUGGGGGGGAAAAAAACAUUGUAGGAAACUAGGCCAGGGCUCACCACUGCCAUAGAGAAUGUGGAGAUACUAUCCCCGGGAAAAGGUCCUACAAUAUUCAGUCUAGUGGAGAAAAGAUGAGGCCAACUUAGAGGAGGGGGGAGAGAAACAGAAAGGAGAUUGAGUCUGUGCUAGCAGACAAGUUACAUUUUCAACAACAGAGCAUCAUGGAACAAAUACGGCCAGGGAAGGAGUCAAUGCAGAAGUUAAUGCUUCUUCUAGUGCAGAAGCCAGCCCUGCCCACAGAAGUGGCAGCCUCCCUCCCGAGAUGGCAGAUAUGAAGCCACAGCACUAAUGCCAGGUCCGUCCUGAGCAGCAUUCAAAGCUGCCAUCCACUCUCAGCUGGGAUGAGAAGUGAUGGAGCCAUGGUGUCACUAUUCCCUCCCACAUUUCCCUAAAGCGAAAUACAAAGUGAGGAAAAUCUAAAGGAACCACAGCCAUGAAAACUCAAAUGUCCCUCACCAUAUGAAUACAGCAAUUCCUCAAGGACUGAACGAGGACCUAAGCGGACAGCAGAACAAACGAGAAAGGGUGGGGCUGGAGAUUUAGCUCAGUGGUUUCGCCUCCUGCCCCACAAGCACAAAGUCCCGAGUUUGAUCUCUGGUACCAAGAAAAAAAAAAGGUGGCACUGACAAAGGCAGCAGAGAAGCCAGGGAGCCAGGUUGAUUGCCAGCAUGCUCAGGGGAGAUGAGGGGACGCAUCCUGAGGAAGGACCCUCUGAUGUACUGCUACAUCUUCUACUGAGGAGUGUCAUCUUUUCCUUGGAGACAACACUUUUACUGAGGAGUCCCGUGUUUAUUAAAUUAUCAAUCUGCAGGCACAGCUUGAGCAAGAUAAAAAAGGGAUCUUCUUGAGUCAUACAAUCAUCUAGAUUCAAAAGCACUCACAAAAUUGAGCAAACAAAGCCAGCAUUUGCAUAUUAGGGGAAUAUAUUGCUGCUGGGAAGCCAAAGGCCUGGUCAAAAAUAAAUGCUCUAUAUUAAGUAGUAAAAUAACGGAGAAUUCAUCCCCUACACCACCACCUCCACAGAGAUCCAUGGUUAUUGCAGCUGCAAGGGAAGCUAUGGCAAAGUCACCCUGGAACAGAGAGCAGCCUGAGAAGCAGACGCAUUGGCACAUAAUUCAAGGGUUCCCCCAUCCCAAACAGCCUUUGCUCCCUGGAGAUGCACUGGAAGCUCUACCUGCCACUCCAGGAAAGGCAGAAGCAGUAGGGCAGGUGAGCAACAGCUCUUCCCUUUCCAAGACGGAUAGUAAGGCACACAGACACAAGCCUCACUAAGGGAACGAGAAGGGCGAGGUGCAGGACAGGACAGGGCCCGCCUCGAGAGGAAGGGGUGGCUCGCCGGGAAGAGCCUCCAACUGCAAGCCUGUCAUCCUGGGCACGGGAUGCACUGGGAGGUGCAUGGUCCCAUCCCUCCUGUCAGUCUCAGACAGGAGCAGAUGCAUAUGACCACAAGGAUGCUGGGCCCUUCCAAAUGUCCUGUGGGUUGCUGUCAGCUCUGGUCCACACCACCAGCUGAGGUUUCCUGUGGGGCUCGUCGUGAAUGUCCCCAAGGCCCCCACAUCAGGUUGUCUGCAGUGAUGUUGAAGUCCCCUACAUGGCAGGCUCACGGCAGAGCCCCAGGGGCGACAGGGCAGCCGAGUCUGCACAAGGCACUCCUCAGAUCAACAAAUGGUUCCCAGGAAACGACGGCCCCAGGAGGCUGUGGGACAGGCACACUGGUCCUUCUGGUGAGAAACAAGAACCCUGGUGUUCCCUCCGCCACUCUCUGGUGGGGC